CAAAAGGCAAGCGCAAUUUUGAACAGAAUUGACUCACUUGGCUGCAGAAGCUACAAAUACAACAGAGUGACAAGGCUGUCUGUAGAGAAAUACCUCCUUUGUUCCUGCAGGCUGUUAGCAUGCAUGUGCCAGUCCUGUCCUUGACUGGAGAGAAGCACCAUCUGAUCAGGUGCAAAUGUAAGAGCAUCUUUCUGGAGAAAAGUUGUGCUGAGUGGGAAGAGAUGAAAGCACCAUUUGGAGGUGAAGGUUGAACAUCUUCGUAUGUUGAGCUGCAGUGCUAACAAACAAGUGGACUGUAUCAGAGGAAGCCGGGGGCUGUUGCCUUAGCAGUGGUUUUGCUGUCUUCUGUUUUACACUUUUGAUAAAUUCCUUGGAC
RNAcentral lists this long non-coding RNA (376 nucleotides) under Gallus gallus (chicken). Its description in RNAcentral is "long non-coding RNA NONGGAT003968". Lineage: Eukaryota; Metazoa; Chordata; Aves; Galliformes; Phasianidae. The record is from RNAcentral.